CCGGCGACCGGCGCACGGGUGAGUAACGCGUAUGCGACCUGCCCGUUGCAGGGGGAGUAAUCGGGAGAAAUCCCGUCUAAUACCGCGUAACGCCGCGGGGCUGCAUGGCCCUGCGGCCAAAGGGGGCGACUCCGGUCACGGAUGGGCAUGCGGCGCAUUAGGUAGUUGGUGGGGCAACGGCCCACCAAGCCGACGAUGCGUAGGGGUUCUGAGAGGAAGGUCCCCCACAUUGGAACUGAGACACGGUCCAAACUCCUACGGGAGGCAGCAG
RNAcentral lists this ribosomal RNA (271 nucleotides) under uncultured bacterium. RNAcentral's name for it is "partial 16S ribosomal RNA". It matches the Rfam family "Bacterial small subunit ribosomal RNA", at positions 88 to 354 of the family's 1533-position model. The record is from RNAcentral.